GUGGGAGCUGUGGGACACGAGAUUUAAGCAGCCUCCAAAAACUAUCGAUAGCCUACACUUGGAAAACUCGAGACAUAGAGGCACAUGGGCACAAAUAAAAGAGACCAGAGUAGAUCUGAAAUUAGGACCGGCUGGGAUUGUAUUGUGCAUCUUUAAGAAGAGACUCUUCUUCUCCUCUGUGUGCACUCCCUGAAGGAAGAGCAUCUCACAUCAAGAAUUUUCCACAGAGAAAGACAAGUGCUGAAGCUCUGGCCGGGCACGGUGACAGGAUGCUUUCUGAUGCCCUGGGUUUGGAUGCAGGUUUGGGAGAGGGCAGAGGGUAUUCAGAGUCAUACCUGUGAGGCAGUCUGCGAGGAAAUGUGCUGACAUCAGAGAUUUGCAUUUUAAAGCCCGGGGAUAGAAGAGGAGGAGGAGGAUACUUCAGUAGAAGAAGCUGAGUUUGCAUAGAUCAGAUCAGGAUUUGAUAUCAGCUGGCUUUACCAUAGUAUAUCUACACAUGUCCUCU
Long non-coding RNA from Oreochromis niloticus (Nile tilapia), 505 nucleotides. RefSeq lists it as uncharacterized. Lineage: Eukaryota; Metazoa; Chordata; Actinopteri; Cichliformes; Cichlidae. The transcript has 5 exons. The record is from RefSeq and is a predicted model, not a curated record.